This 2134-nucleotide long non-coding RNA is filed under the name Strigops habroptila (Kakapo). RNAcentral's name for it is "lncRNA (ENSSHBG00005010187.1)". The record is from RNAcentral. Lineage: Eukaryota; Metazoa; Chordata; Aves; Psittaciformes; Psittacidae.
AAAUUCAGUUUCACUUUAUUCAAGGUGAAGAAGAGGUUGGGAGGUAAGAGGCGGAGGUGGUAACCAAGAAAGCCAUGCCACAUAAAGCCAUGCAGCUGAACAAAAAGAGGUGCAAACAGACUUACAAAUGUUUUAGCAAUGUGUCUGGCAUCUUUGAUUCUAUGUUUGGUUUGUCAUUGAUUUCUUAGAGGUAGUUCUAACCCACCCUUAACAAACUACUACUGAGAACCCAAAUGACAUUUCUCAAAGGUAUUAAGCUUAGGUAACAGUCAUCUAGAAGGGAAACUGUUCUUCAGUCCAGGCCAUGGUAUACUUUUAAACACCACAGUGGGCAGACCUAAAUGCUUACAUUUUAAUUUUUAUUGAUAUCCCCGUGUCUAAUUGCAUAUAGAUUUUUAAUAAAAUUUAAUAUAUCUAUUCUGCCAUCUUGUUGAAAAAAUAUGCAUAUUGCAAUAAGGAAUGAGGCACAGCAGAGUGGACAUCUCAAACAACUUGCAGUAAUCCAGAAAACUACUCUGUGGUGUAAACCUGAACAUCUUUCUUCUUGCCCCCAGCUCAUGGAUAGUUAAAACAGAGAACUGGUGUCUGCCGAGAAAUGGCAAAAUUCAUUUAUGACUGUAUGGAGAAAGUGUACGGAAAAAAAAAAGGGGAAAAAAGAUACAAUUUAAUGACUAGAAAAACAAAACUAGAAAAUCAUGUUGUCAUUAAAAGUGGAAACAAGGAGGGAGGUGGGGGAGUGUCCCAUGUUGAUUUUUGAACAUUUUCAGUGUUUUAGUUCUUAGUUAAGGCUUUUAGUUAGCACAGAAGAUAAAAAUAUUUUACACUCUAUAGGAAAAAUACAAUUUCGGGGGAAUUGUUACGUUUUCCAAACCAUGAUCUUAACCACAGACAUGCACAUUUAAAAUAAAUUCUUCAACAUUAAUGGUUAAAUUGCCUAAAGAUUACUGAAGAGCCAGCUGAGAUUUGAGGAGUUUGUUGGCAACAUAAAUGUAAAAGUUAAGAGUUUGAGAUAAUAUUAAUUGAAAUAGAGGCUCUGCGAAGAGAAAAUGUUUAGAAUAGGGUAAAUUGAUAAGCUACACAAACGGGAAUGUACAAAGUAAUCGCAAGACAUACUAGAAGUGAAAGUUGCAGCAGAUACUCAGUAAAUACUGGGGAUAGAGAGAGGAUGAGACAACACUAAUCAAGAAUUAAAAUAAUGAACUAUCAUGCCUAAGAUGAAAAGUGACUGAUGAAAAAAACUACAGCUACGGAAUGGUACUCAGUGCACCUAAUAACACUACUUAUCUAAGGCAAAGUAUUCUAUUAAGUUUGGCGUGAUUAUAACCUGAGUUAAUAUUCUUAGUACGUGCUUAGUGUACAAACAAGUGGAGCAACACAGUCAUUGUCAUAGUUUGGAAUUCUCUUAUGAUCUUUUGAUUCAAUUUACAAUUUAUGGGAAGAAUUACAAGAUUACAUGUAUUUUGUAACCUCCUAAAUGGUUACUCACCACUUAAAGAAAGAUUUAACAGUAAAUUAAAGAACUGCAAUUGUAGGUUAGCAUGCUCGUCAUUUUAGAUUUUACAAUAAUGUGACAAUUUGGAUUUCUCAAGCACCAGCAAUCUGCAAUGUCAAAAUUAUAUCCUCUAGCUAUAAAUAUUCCAAACAAUAAUUUAGAAAUAAUAUUCUGGCAGUAGGUACUUACUACAUUUAGCAGAUAUUUUGAAGAUUUUUAUAUGGGAGUUUAUAAAAACCUUCAUAUAAAACUGUACUGUUUUUCCUGUACUUUUUAUGUCAAUGGCAGUAAACAGCCAUUCAACAAUACUAUGACUACUACAUCUCAGGAAUAAGUAGAAUUGCACACAUUCAGGCACUCUCUAUUGAAGUUCUGCUGUCUGGAUAUGAAACAAAAAAGUUUCCUUGGGUAAGAAAAGUUGAUAAAAGCAACUGUGAAAUAUUAUAUUUUUUAUUAACAAAAAUUUGACUUUAUUAGUCACUUGCUUAGCACACAAUACUGUGUAAUCCAAGGCAUUUAUUUUUGGUAUGCAACAGUGCACUUAUAACCCCAUAAACUCCUUUUUGAAUUGCAAGACUUAAUAACUUACUUAAAAUGAUAGGCUUUAAUCAAUAUUUUUAGUGCAGAGAUAUAUUAAUUCUC